Zophobas morio is the source of this 402-nucleotide long non-coding RNA. RefSeq lists it as uncharacterized. Lineage: Eukaryota; Metazoa; Arthropoda; Insecta; Coleoptera; Tenebrionidae. The transcript is spliced from 4 exons. The record is from RefSeq and is a predicted model, not a curated record.
GCCCGCUCCACUUAGAUAUUACCUUUAUCGGGGCCCCUACGGACUGUUCCUGCUGGAAUUUCCAGGAAGCAUGGUUGUUAGGCUCCAAUGAUCUCCUUAGAUCCUGCGGAAAUUAGAGAAUUAGCUCAAAGUUUAGAUGAACAAAUCGAAGGCGGUACUGUUACUAAACUUCAACCAAGCUGCUCGGAAUUUGCAACUGAGAUUUCUAAUAGUAGCAAAAAGCCAGUGCAUUGUGAAAUUCCAAAGAUCAACUAUAACAGUUCUGUCCGGCAAUUUUUAGACCAAACUGUGGUCCCUUUACUUUUAGAUGGACUAACUUUAAUUAUUAAAGAAAAACCGGAAAAUCCAAUAGAAUUUUUGGGUCACUUCCUUAUAGCUAAUAAAGAUUACAGACACACAAAA